This 443-nucleotide ribosomal RNA is filed under the name uncultured bacterium. RNAcentral's name for it is "partial 16S ribosomal RNA". It matches the Rfam family "Bacterial small subunit ribosomal RNA", at positions 338 to 795 of the family's 1533-position model. The record is from RNAcentral.
CCUACGGGGAGCAGCAGUGGGGGAUAUUGGACAAUGGGGGGAACCCUGAUCCAGCGACGCCGCGUGAGUGAAGAAGUAUUUCGGUAUGUAAAGCUCUGUCAGCAGGGAAGAAAGAAAUGACGGUACCUGACCAAGAAGCCCCGGCUAACUACGUGCCAGCAGCCGCGGUAAUACGUAGGGGGCAAGCGUUAUCCGGAAUUACUGGGUGUAAAGGGAGCGUAGACGGUUAAGUAAGUCUGGAGUGAAAGGCCGGGGCCCAACCCCGGGACUGCUCUGGAAACUAUUGAACUUGAGUGCAGGGGAGGUAAGCGGAAUUCCUAGUGUAGCGGUGAAAUGCGUAGAUAUUAGGAGGAACACCAGUGGCGAAGGCGGCUUACUGGACUGUAACUGACGUUGAGGCUCGAAAGCGUGGGGAGCAAACAGGAUUAGAUACCCUAGUAGUC